AACGAACGCUGGCGGCAGGCUUAACACAUGCAAGUCGAGCGCCCCGCCAGGGGAGCGGCAGACGGGUGAGUAACGCGUGGGAACGUACCUUUUGGUUCGGAACAACUCCGGGAAACUGGAGCUAAUACCGGAUAAGCCCUAACGGGGAAAGAUUUAUCGCGGAAAGAUCGGCCCGCGUCUGAUUAGCUAGUUGGUGAGGUAACGGCUCACCAAGGCGACGAUCAGUAGCUGGUCUGAGAGGAUGAUCAGCCACACUGGGACUGAGACACGGCCCAGACUCCUACGGGAGGCAGCAGUGGGGAAUAUUGGACAAUGGGCGCAAGCCUGAUCCAGCCAUGCCGCGUGAGUGAUGAAGGCCUUAGGGUUGUAAAGCUCUUUUGUCCGGGAAGAUAAUGACUGUACCGGAAGAAUAAGCCCCGGCUAACUUCGUG
RNAcentral lists this ribosomal RNA (431 nucleotides) under uncultured bacterium. RNAcentral describes it as "partial 16S ribosomal RNA". It matches the Rfam family "Bacterial small subunit ribosomal RNA", at positions 29 to 507 of the family's 1533-position model. The record is from RNAcentral.